Molecule: long non-coding RNA, 455 nt
Filed under: Populus trichocarpa (black cottonwood)
Lineage: Eukaryota; Viridiplantae; Streptophyta; Magnoliopsida; Malpighiales; Salicaceae
Description: long non-coding RNA (PTRI_LNC002086)
Source: RNAcentral
UUUGGGUCAUAGCAUGUAGUUUUUAAAAAUAAUAUAAAUUUUUCAAUUUAAAUAAAGCAAUGCUAAAUAUUAAAAAAAUAUUAAAUUAUUAUAUUUUAAGCUAAAAACAUCUUUGAAAAUUACAUUCCACCCCAAUACAACGCACAUAACACAUCGGGAAGGUGAAGAUCCUAUUUUGGUAUUUUUCAAAAACAAAUUGUAAAAUCAGAAGCAAAUCAAAAUCAAUCAACCCGUUCGGACGCCAAACAUCUUACCAUUUUCAACACAGUAGCAAACACCACGUGUAUAACUGAGUUGCUCUCUGCUCAUUUUUCGAGUUCUGACAUGAACUACAGGUACACGGUGUCCUUGGUAUGGGUAGUCUCUCACGAGGAGUGUACAGUUGUAACCGGGGCCAAGAAGAUCUCUUAAAGUCUCUCAGGCUUCCUUUCAACACAGUAGCAAACACCACUUGU